UGAGCAUAGGAAUAAAAAGGCAUCUUUUUAUUUUUAAAAGACCUUUUUCGGAAGGUAUGCUUAAAGAGGGGCUUGCGUCACAUUAGUUAGUUGGCAGGGUAAAGGCCUACCAAGACUAUGAUGUGUAGCUGGACUGAGAGGUUGAACAGCCACAUUGGGACUGAGACACGGCCCAAACUCCUACGGGAGGCAGCAGUAGGGAAUUUUCGGCAAUGGAGGAAACUCUGACCGAGCAACGCCGCGUGAACGAUGAAGUAUUUCGGUAUGUAAAGUUCUUUUAUUGAAGAAGAAAAAAUAGUGGAAAAACUAUCUUGACGAUAUUCAAUGAAUAAGCCCCGGCAAACUAUGUGCCAGCAGCCGCGGUAAUACAUAGGGGGCGAGCGUUAUCCGGAAUUAUUGGGCGUAAAGGGUGCGUAGGCGGUUUAAUAAGUCUAUAGUUUAAUUUCAGUGCUUAACACUGUCCUGCUAUAGAAACUAUUAGACUAGAGUGAGAUAGAGGCAAGUGGAAUUCCAUGUGUAGCGGUAAAAUGCGUAAAUAUAUGGAGGAACACCAGAGGCGUAGGCGGCUUGCUGGGUCUUUACUGACGCUGAGGCACGAAAGCGUGGGGAGCAAACAGGAUUAGAUACCCUGGUAGUCCACGCCGUAAACGAUGAGUACUAAGUGUCGGGAUUACUCGGUACUGAAGUUAACACAUUAAGUACUCCGCCUGAGUAGUACGUACGCAAGUAUGAAACUUAAAGGAAUUGACGGGACUCCGCACAAGCGGUGGAUCAUGUUGUUUAAUUCGAAGAUACACGAAAAACCUUACCAGGUCUUGACAUACUCUGCAAAGCUAUAGCAAUAUAGUGAGGUUAUCAGGGAUACAGGUGGUGCAUGGUUGUCGUCAGCUCGUGUCGUGAGAUGUUAGGUUAAGUCCUAAAACGAGCGCAACCCUUGUCAUUAGUUGCCAGCAUGUCAUGAUGGGCACUUUAAUGAGACUGCCAAUGAAAAAUUGGAGGAAGGUGAGGAUCACGUCAAAUCAUCAUGCCCCUUAUGAUCUGGGCUACAAACGUGAUACAAUGGCUGUUACAAAGAGUAGCUGAAACGCAAGUUUAUAGCCAAUCUCAUAAAAGCAGUCUCAGUUCGGAUUGAAGUCUGCAACUCGACUUCAUGAAGUUGGAAUCGCUAGUAAUCGCGAAUCAGCAUGUCGCGGUGAAUACGUUCUCGGGGUUUGUACACACCGCCCGUCAAACCACGAAAGUUGGUAAUACUCAAAAACGGUAGCCUAACUUCUUCGGAAGAGGGAACCGUCUAAGGUAGGAUCGAUGAUUGGGGUAAGUCCGAA
Molecule: ribosomal RNA, 1325 nt
Filed under: Candidatus Phytoplasma sacchari
Lineage: Bacteria; Bacillati; Mycoplasmatota; Mollicutes; Acholeplasmatales; Acholeplasmataceae
Description: bacterial SSU rRNA
Rfam family: Bacterial small subunit ribosomal RNA
Source: RNAcentral